ACAUUUGAAAUGUAAAAAAAUAAGGGACAGUGAAAACACCACUUUUGGGUGAAGUGGCAACGUGAUGUGUUGUUUAACUUCAAUCGGUGUUGUGACACGA
Small nucleolar RNA from Rattus norvegicus (Norway rat), 100 nucleotides. The record is from Ensembl. Lineage: Eukaryota; Metazoa; Chordata; Mammalia; Rodentia; Muridae.